RNAcentral lists this RNase P RNA (243 nucleotides) under Geoglobus ahangari. Its description in RNAcentral is "RNase P RNA component". It matches the Rfam family "Archaeal RNase P". Rfam says of the family: Ribonuclease P (RNase P) is a ubiquitous endoribonuclease, found in archaea, bacteria and eukarya as well as chloroplasts and mitochondria. Its best characterised activity is the generation of mature 5'-ends of tRNAs by cleaving the 5'-leader elements of precursor-tRNAs. Cellular RNase Ps are ribonucleoproteins. The record is from RNAcentral. Lineage: Archaea; Methanobacteriati; Methanobacteriota; Archaeoglobi; Archaeoglobales; Archaeoglobaceae.
GAGCGACGGAGGGCGGCCUCCCGAGAGGAGGAAAGUCCCCCCACCUAAAAGGCGGGGUGCCGUAAGGCACCGUGCCGAGAGGCACGGCAACGGAACAGAAACGAUACCCGUUUGGGGAAAUGCGAGGAUGCCGAAAGGCUGAGGUCACCCAAGCGGGAUGAAACGGCCGUCCCCGCUGGUGCAAGCCGAAAGGCGCUUAGAUUAAUGCCGCCGUGAACAGAAGGGGGCUUACUCCCGUCACUC